GGAUGAACGCUAGCUACAGGCUUAACACAUGCAAGUCGAGGGUUAGCAUUUUAGUUUGCUUGCAAACUAAAGAUGGCGACCGGCGCACGGGUGAGUAACACGUAUCCAACCUGCCGAUAACUCUGGGAUAGCCUUUCGAAAGAAAGAUUAAUACCGGAUGGCAUAGGAUUAUCGCAUGAUAAUCCUAUUAAAGAAUUUCGGUUAUCGAUGGGGAUGCGUUCCAUUAGGCAGUUGGUGAGGUAACGGCUCACCAAACCUUCGAUGGAUAGGGGUUCUGAGAGGAAGGUCCCCCACAUUGGAACUGAGACACGGUCCAAACUCCUACGGGAGGCAGCAGUGAGGAAUAUUGGUCAAUGGACGGGAGUCUGAACCAGCCAAGUAGCGUGAAGGAUGACUGCCCUAUGGGUUGUAAACUUCUUUUAUACGGGAAUAAAGUGAUCCACGUGUGGAUUUUUGUAUGUACCGUAUGAAUAAGGAUCGGCUAACUCCGUGCCAGCAGCCGCGGUAAUACGGAGGAUCCGAGCGUUAUCCGGAUUUAUUGGGUUUAAAGGGAGCGUAGGUGGAUUGUUAAGUCAGUUGUGAAAGUUUGCGGCUCAACCGUAAAAUUGCAGUUGAUACUGGCAGUCUUGAGUACAGUAGAGGUGGGCGGAAUUCGUGGUGUAGCGGUGAAAUGCUUAGAUAUCACGAAGAACUCCGAUUGCGAAGGCAGCUCACUGGACUGCAACUGACACUGAUGCUCGAAAGUGUGGGUAUCAAACAGGAUUAGAUACCCUGGUAGUCCACACAGUAAACGAUGAAUACUCGCU
Molecule: ribosomal RNA, 806 nt
Filed under: uncultured organism
Description: SSU rRNA
Rfam family: Bacterial small subunit ribosomal RNA
Source: RNAcentral